RNAcentral lists this long non-coding RNA (467 nucleotides) under Carassius auratus (goldfish). Its description in RNAcentral is "lncRNA (ENSCARG00000021925.1)". Lineage: Eukaryota; Metazoa; Chordata; Actinopteri; Cypriniformes; Cyprinidae. The record is from RNAcentral.
CAUACAUUUCCAGCUGGUUGCAAGGACUUCUGUGGUUGAAGAUCGCCCAGAGAGCGAUAAGCCAUACAGUUGCUGAUCUUGAAGCAUUAGGCAAGAUUGUCUGAGAACGAUGAACUGGAUUGGUAAUUACAAAAGAUCGCAAAUGACCAAUGCUUCGUCUGAGCCCCGGUCAUCAAAGGCCAAAGUUCACAUUAGAGAGCUGUCGCAUUACAAUCUUUUUUGUAGGGACAUAUUCAAAAACAAAGAUAGAGGCAAUUUGUGCCGUGUCUGCCACGUCCAUGAUGAUAAGAAGAAGAAUGCAAGAAAGAAGUGGCGCUCAUGGUCUCAGUGCACAGUGUGCCAAUCAUGGUCACACACAGCAUGUGGCUUUAAAAAGAACAUGUGCCUUCACUGUCAGGGUCAGGACACCAUGCAAACACCCUGAAGAUGUAUCUUGUUACUUGUUUGGGUUGGUUUUACUGUGUUGA